AAAUGAAUAGACGGGGGCCCGCACAAGCAGUGGAGUAUGUGGUUUAAUUCGAAGCAACGCGAAGAACCUUACCAGGUCUUGACAUCACGUGACGUACUAAGAGAUUAGUAUUCCCUUCGGGGCACAAAGACAGGUGGUGCAUGGUUGUCGUCAGCUCGUGUCGUGAGAUGUUGGGUUAAGUCCCGCAACGAGCGCAACCCUUACCAUUAGUUGCUACGCAAGAGCACUCUAAUGGGACUGCCGUUGACAAAACGGAGGAAGGUGGGGAUGACGUCAAAUCAUCAUGCCCCUUAUGACCUGGGCUACACACGUACUACAAUGGCAAUUAAACAGAGGGAAGCAAAACAGCGAUGUUGAGCAAAUCCCGAAAAAUUGUCUCAGUUCGGAUUGUAGGCUGCAACUCGCCUACAUGAAGUCGGAAUUGCUAGUAAUCGCAGAUCAGCAUGCUGCGGUGAAUACGUUCCCGGGCCUUGUACACACCGCCCGU
RNAcentral lists this ribosomal RNA (487 nucleotides) under uncultured bacterium. RNAcentral describes it as "bacterial SSU rRNA". It matches the Rfam family "Bacterial small subunit ribosomal RNA", at positions 903 to 1397 of the family's 1533-position model. The record is from RNAcentral.